GGGCCCGCACAAGCGGUGGAGUAUGUGGUUUAAUUCGAUGCAACGCGAAGAACCUUACCAGGGUUUGACAUCCAGAGAACUUUUCAGAGAUGAAUUGGUGCCUUCGGGAACUCUGAGACAGGUGCUGCAUGGCUGUCGUCAGCUCGUGUUGUGAAAUGUUGGGUUAAGUCCCGCAACGAGCGCAACCCUUAUCCUUGUUUGCCAGCGAGUAAUGUCGGGAACUCCAGGGAGACUGCCGGUGAUAAACCGGAGGAAGGUGGGGACGACGUCAAGUCAUCAUGGCCCUUACGAGUAGGGCUACACACGUGCUACAAUGGCGCAUACAGAGGGCAGCCAACUUGCGAGAGUGAGCGAAUCCCAAAAAGUGCGUCGUAGUCCGGAUCGGAGUCUGCAACUCGACUCCGUGAAGUCGGAAUCGCUAGUAAUCGUGGAU
Molecule: ribosomal RNA, 433 nt
Filed under: uncultured bacterium
Lineage: Bacteria
Description: bacterial SSU rRNA
Rfam family: Bacterial small subunit ribosomal RNA
Source: RNAcentral